This 3064-nucleotide unclassified non-coding RNA is filed under the name Acyrthosiphon pisum (pea aphid). RNAcentral's name for it is "breast carcinoma-amplified sequence 3 homolog, transcript variant X1". Lineage: Eukaryota; Metazoa; Arthropoda; Insecta; Hemiptera; Aphididae. The record is from RNAcentral.
GGUGUUCGGUUCUAAGUAGUAAAUGUAAAUACGCGUCCCGACGACAUUACCGUUUUACUGCGUAGCAGCGGACGACAGCAGCUGCAUCAGCAGCUGACAGCCUUGAUAAAGACAACAAACUAUGAUGAUUAUGUGAUAACGACCUGAAGAAAAUAAAAAACAGUCGCAGUAGUAAUAAUAACAAUAAUAAUAAUAUAUUUAUUGCCUUUGUCGCUUAAAAAUUUCGCAAUGGAAUUGAAAAUAUAUUAUUUUCGUUCAAAAACAUGAAAUGUUUCUACACACAAAUCGCUGAGUCUCGUUUUGAUUUUUUUCCUGCCAUCAUCUCAGUGUUGCAACAGCCUGUAAUUGCUUUUUUUUUUACUUUAAGCUUUUGACGUUUUUCCUCGGACUGUGUGACCAUGUAUUAUAUUAUUGUCAUCACACCUGAGUAAUUUGACUUGCUUCGAAAUGACAAUAUCGACGUAUAACCUCUGGACCAUUGAACCACUAAACCGUGUUUGACCCGAUCGCAAAGAUUUCAAAAAUGUCAGCAGACUCUCCAUGUAAAGCGUCCAAAAAUCCGAUCGGCAAGAUAGUGCUGCCCGGCCCCAUUGUCGAUCGAUCUAUCAUCGACAGUGUUGCUGGGUUCAUUAAUGACGUCGUCCCUCAUGGAUAUUCUAACAUUUUAAAUGUAGACAGUAGAGAAAAAAUUCUGUGGACGCAAUUUGAAACACUAGAAGCUAAUGAAUUCCCUUCAAACUUUGAGAAUGAUGAAUCGCUCAUGUCUGGUGUAUCACCAAUACUUCUUAUUUUGGGUUAUGGAUUUGGUGUUCAAGUAUGGUUUAUUGGUGCCAACGGUGAAGCAUAUGAAGUUUUAUCUUGGUCGCAAGGAGUUGUCAAGAUUUUAAAAUUCAUACCUUCACCAUUGCCGGAAUUGAAAUUUCGACAAGACCCAUUUGCUCAUAAAAGGCCAUUAAUUGCACUGUGCGAUAACUCUGGCGCUGGACCACAGUUUUGUUCUGUCAGUUUUAUAUCAUUAACAUGUGGAGAUGUGGUAAAAACAAUUAAAUUUAAAAAUACUGUAGUUGAUAUUGCUGUAAAUAGGUUUGCUAUAGCAGUAGUAUUUGUAGAACGAAUUGCUGUGUUUGAUGCCCUCACUGUCGAAGACAUAACUACAAUUACUACGUGUUAUCCUAGUCCUGGAAUUAAAUUAAACCCAAUCGCAUUGGGAACAAGGUGGUUGGCGUAUUCAGAUCAAAAGUUGAUCUCUUGGAACCGAUCUACCGGUGGAUAUGAGGGCGAGAAUGGCCAUUCAUAUACAGCUACGGUUUUGCAUGCAGCAAAAUCAUUAAGUCAAAGUUUGAGAGAUUUAAGUGGCUCUGUAGCAAAUAGUAUUACAGGCGUGCACAAUUCAAAUUCAACUCAUAACAUAUCAGUUGCAAAUGACUCUAAUCAAAUGAAUCCAGGAAUAAUUACCAUAAUUGAUAUCAAAAAUAAAGUGUUAAAGGAGAAUACACCACAAGGCCCUGAUAUUAUUGCUCAUUUUCCAGCACACUGUGAGGCUAUUGUGGCCUUAAAUUUUGACCAGUCUGGUCUCAUGUUAGUGACUGCUGAUAAAAACGGUCAUAGAUUUAAUGUUUUCAAAAUACAUCCUAGUAUAUUAGGUUCUUCAUUUGCAGCUGUUCAUCAUUUGUAUACGUUACAUAGAGGUGACACUACAGCUAAAAUUCAAGAUAUUCAAUUCUCAAGUGAUUCAAGAUGGGUGGCUGUAAGUUCACUUAGGGGAACAACUCAUAUAUUCCCAAUUACACCUUACGGAGGACCUAUUGGUCUACGUACCCAUUCAACACCACACAUUGUAAAUAAACUAUCAAGGUUUCAUCGCAGUGCUGGCUUAGUGACUGAUGGUCGAAACAGUCCUGUAAUGACUGAAUCAUUACAGAGUUCUCAAAUUGUGUUGCCAUACUCUAAUCCUUGUGUGGCACCUGUACCACAUUCAAUUAUUGUACAUUCAUUGUGCCAAAUCCGAUCACAAAGUAAUAAAUUAAAACCUGACGAAACUGGGAUAACAACAUAUAUUAGACUGUCUACUUGUUUUUCUCAUGGUCGUAUAUUGGAUACAGCAAUGAUCAGGGAAAUGUCUAACAUAACUUAUAAUCCCAAGAAAAAUAUUGCAGAUUCUCUAUAUGUGAUGACUAGCAAUGGCAUUCUUACACAAUAUGAUAUGUAUCCUAUGCAUUCAAAUGCAAUAUCCAAAGAAAAAAUAUUUGAUGAUACAAUGAUAGAACUAAACAUUGAACCAAAAACCGAGUGGAAUCUGUACAAACCACCUCUUCAUGCAUCUACUGUUAACCCCCCAUUAAAUCGGGGUAAUCCGUUAUUAGACCUUUAUAUAAAUUGUCCAGUCACGAACCUGUCAAAUAUUUCUGAAAAGAAUUCUUUAGAAAGCAUUGAUGAACGUUGGCUAUCACAAGUGGAAAUAAGUACACAUGCAGGCCCACACCGCCGCCUUUGGAUGGGACCACAAUUUGUAUUUAAAACUUGUAGUUCUUCAUUAGGGAGGUCAGAAUCUGAUACUCAAUUGAGUGAAAUUGAAAAUGUAUCAUUGUUAUUAAAAUCAAAUCCUGUUAGUGUUCCACAAAAUAAUAUCAACAGACAGAGCACUCCUGUGUUCAUUGAAUGCGGUUCAAAUAGUAGUUUUGAUUAUUCACCAAAAUUUUUAGACUUAAAUCCGGGCGAUUCAUCUGAUGUAUCAUCUGAUCAAGGUGAAAUUAAAAUAUUGGAAGAUUUGGCAGAAGCCAUGAAUGAAAAUCUUCAAAUUAAUAAAACAGUUUUUGGUGACAUUUAACUGGAAUCUUUAAAAUUGAUUUAUUUAUACAUCUUUAUUUUGAACAUUAUAUUUGGAUUAAAAAGGACUCUUCACUCUUCAAAAUAAGACUUUCAAAGAAAGAAAAUCAUGGUAUAUGUAGUCAAUCCAGAAUUGAUUUCACUAAUUCAAAUAACAUUCAGAACCUGAGGUAAUCGAUGAGAGUGAACAAAUUCUAACUCAAAUAAUGUCUACAAAAAAAUGUAAAAAAGCUAAAAA